RNAcentral lists this unclassified non-coding RNA (363 nucleotides) under uncultured fungus. Its description in RNAcentral is "partial contains small subunit ribosomal RNA, internal transcribed spacer 1, and 5.8S ribosomal RNA". The stretch from base 1 to 73 matches the Rfam family "Eukaryotic small subunit ribosomal RNA", at positions 1759 to 1831 of the family's 1831-position model. The record is from RNAcentral. Lineage: Eukaryota; Fungi.
GCAAACUUGGUCAUUUAGAGGAAGUAAAAGUCGUAACAAGGUCUCCGUAGGUGAACCUGCGGAGGGAUCAUCAUUGGAACCAAAUUUGGACAAAAGGCUGGUUUGGGUGUGGGGGGAAAAAAACUCUGCACGGCCCCCUUUUGGACAAACAACCAAUCUACGUGACUAGGGAAAGAAAAAAGAGCUGAGCGCGCGCCCCGCAGUUGCCUUGUCUCUGAGUUUUCUUGGGGGCACUGCGCAAGGCAAAGCAAAGCAAAAGUUCUUGUCUGAAAAGUGGCUUUACUGAUUUUGGUGGAGCGCGGAGUAACUAAUACAACUUUCAACAACGGAUCUCUUGGCUCUCACAUCGAUGAAGAACGCAGC